CAUAAAAUUGUAGGUACUUUCAAGAAAUAUAGUUAACUGUAAGUGCUGUAUUUUAAUAAUCUAUCAAAAAUCAAAAUCAUCAGGAUAAUAUUAGGUAUUGAUUUUCAGACAAGAAUUAGAUUACAGUGAUGGUCAAAAGCAUUUAGAUAUUGCUUUAAAAUCUACAGAUAAGGUAUGGCAGUUUCAUUUUAAAGAACAAGAUGUUAAAGUUUUAUGAUAAAAUUGUCAUCAGAAAUACUGUCCACUUCAGUAUUUACAUAGGAAAAUAUUGGAGGAUGAAGCUCUACCUACUGCCUCAGGUUAAUUUAAAUUCUGAAUUGCAACAACAGCAACAAGCAAGAAGGGCACCAUUAAAUGAAUAUUAUACACAUAAAGCAACAACACAAUAAAAAACCAAAAUAUGAACACCAGCAACUAAAACAGGAACCAUUAAAUGAAUAUUAUACACAGCAAUAACAGCAUCAAAUAAUGGAAAUAAUGGACCCCACUGCUCAAAUCAAAAACAAAAUUUCAGCAUUACCACUUUAUUGGUUAUAUCAAUAAAAGAAAUUAUUGAGUUUAUGAGUCUAGAUCCUACAAGCAAGCAGAUCUAUCACAUACUUUAAAAUGAAGAUUUAU
Long non-coding RNA from Sitophilus oryzae (rice weevil), 618 nucleotides. RefSeq lists it as uncharacterized. Lineage: Eukaryota; Metazoa; Arthropoda; Insecta; Coleoptera; Curculionidae. The transcript has 3 exons. The record is from RefSeq and is a predicted model, not a curated record.